RNAcentral lists this non-coding RNA (45 nucleotides) under Schistosoma margrebowiei. The record is from RNAcentral. Lineage: Eukaryota; Metazoa; Platyhelminthes; Trematoda; Strigeidida; Schistosomatidae.
CUUUUGUUGACGAGUCCCAAAUAGGACGAAACGCUCGUCCUGGAU